Bactrocera dorsalis (oriental fruit fly) is the source of this 1063-nucleotide long non-coding RNA. RefSeq lists it as uncharacterized. The transcript has 2 exons. Lineage: Eukaryota; Metazoa; Arthropoda; Insecta; Diptera; Tephritidae. The record is from RefSeq and is a predicted model, not a curated record.
UGAAGCUAAUGAAUUUCAAAAUCUUCCCACUUAUAUUGCUAUAUAUAUGUAUAUAAACUUAUAAAAACUUCAGAAUCACCCUAAUAUUCAUAUUUAUAAUGUGUUUUGCGCAUAUUCUGGUGAUAAAUUUGUUUUCCAUUAUACUUUUAUAGUUAUCAGUGAACGUGUGAAUUGGAGCAAAAGAAGUGAUUUUCUAUGAGUGCUCCAACUUUUGAAUUCUGUGACUAAGUGAAUUUACUUGAGCAAAAAUUUCUUCGAAAGCAAAUUGCUAGUAAUGUGUACAAAAUAUUACGGCACUUAGUUUUUAAUAAAGAGAAGAUUUGUUAAUACGCAUAAUAUGCAUACUUGCUUGUAUAUAGUUACUAUGGGUGCAAAUGGUUCUAAAAUUCUCGCUUAUGAUGCCUCUCUUACAACGCGUUACAGAUAUUAUUAAACAGAAAAGACCUAUUAAAUCAUAGCCUGUCUUGUUGCGGCCGUCGAAUUUCAUGUCAGUAUAAAUCGUUUAUUAUUAUUAUAGAGGUUGCAGUCUUCACACAAUGUCCAUUAUGAACACAAGUUUUAUGCGAUGAUCCAAGCAGAAGUACUUUUUUGACAGACCAAGCGUCAGUUAUGUCAAGCUGUCAUGUUAUUUUUGUUCGGUAUGGUUUGGCAACUUUUUACGAUUCACGUUCUGUUAAGAAUGUGUCACGCAUUUCGUUCAACUUAUGGUCAGUCAACAUAAUUGACCUACUAAGCCUACUAUUCAGAACACCAUCACCCAUCUUGAGACCCCGCAUUAAUUAUUGGAUAAUAUUCGACCGAAUCGACCACGUCCAGCACGUAGUGAAGAAAAUAUAGCGACUCUAGCUGAGAGUGUGUCGAAGACCAUGGAGAGACUAUUCGGCGCCGUUCACAGCAACUCGGACUGACAUAUGGAAUGAUUUGUCACAUUUUACGUUAAAAUCUUAAAUUGAAAACGCACAAAUUAUAGCUUGCGCAUUGUGGAUUCGCGGGUGAACUAUCUGAGACGUUUGAAAGAGAUAAUCUUCAAAAAAUAAAUGAAAAAGAAUUUUCUUUCGAAUGA